GACGAACGCUGGCGGCGUGCUUAACACAUGCAAGUCGAACGGAAAGGCCCUGCUUGCAGGGUGCUCGAGUGGCGAACGGGUGAGUAACACGUGGGUGAUCUGCCCCUUACUUUGGGAUAAGCCUGGGAAACUGGGUCUAAUACUGGAUAGGACCAUGCUGUAGGUGGUGUGGUGGAAAGAUUAGUUUCGGUAAGGGAUGAGCUCGCGGCCUAUCAGCUUGUUGGUGGGGUAAUGGCCUACCAAGGCGUCGACGGGUAGCCGGCCUGAGAGGGGGGACGGCCACAUUGGGACUGCGUGACGACGCAGACACCUACGGGAGGCAGCAGUGGGGAAUAUUGCACCAUGGGCGCAAGGCUGAUGCAGCGACGCCGCGUGGGGGGUGACGGCCUUCGGGUUGUAAACUCCUUUCAGCCAUGGCGAAGCCCUUGUGGUGACGGUAGUGGUAGAAGAAGCACCGGCUAACUACGUG
This 469-nucleotide ribosomal RNA is filed under the name uncultured bacterium. Its description in RNAcentral is "partial 16S ribosomal RNA". It matches the Rfam family "Bacterial small subunit ribosomal RNA", at positions 28 to 507 of the family's 1533-position model. The record is from RNAcentral.